This 123-nucleotide ribosomal RNA is filed under the name Anolis carolinensis (green anole). The record is from RNAcentral. Lineage: Eukaryota; Metazoa; Chordata; Lepidosauria; Squamata; Anolidae.
GUUCUAGUAAAGACUGCAAAACCCAGAAAGCUCCAGAUCCCAUCUGACAUUGGAAGCUAAGCAGGGCCAGGCCUGGUUAGUACUUGGAAGGGAGACAUAAGGGAAUAUCAGAUGUUUAGAGAU